This 441-nucleotide ribosomal RNA is filed under the name Metschnikowia reukaufii. Its description in RNAcentral is "eukaryotic LSU rRNA". It matches the Rfam family "Eukaryotic large subunit ribosomal RNA", at positions 87 to 568 of the family's 3401-position model. Lineage: Eukaryota; Fungi; Ascomycota; Pichiomycetes; Serinales; Metschnikowiaceae. The record is from RNAcentral.
CGGCGAGUGAAGCGGCAAAAGCUCAAAUUUGAAAUCCUUCGGGAAUUGUAUUUUGAAGGUGGGUUUGGUUAGGAAAAGUUACUUUAAGUCCAUUGGAAAAUGGCGCCAUGGAGGGUGAUAGCCCCGUAAAAGUAUCCCUUUUCCUUUUAUCCAUUCCCUCCAAAGAGUCGAGUUGUUUGGGAAUGCAGCUCUAAGUGGGUGGUAAAUUCCAUCUAAAGCUAAAUAUUGGCGAGAGACCGAUAGCGAACAAGUACAGUGAUGGAAAGAUGAAAAGCACUUUGAAAAGAGAGUGAAAAAGUACGUGAAAUUGUUGAAAGGGAAGGGCUUGCAAGCAGACACAACCUCGGUUGGGCCAGCAUCGGAGUGGGGGGAGACAAAAAAGAAAAGGAAUGUAACUCAUUCGAGUAUUAUAGCCUUUUUCUCAUAUCUCCACCCCCUUCC